RNAcentral lists this ribosomal RNA (504 nucleotides) under uncultured bacterium. RNAcentral's name for it is "bacterial SSU rRNA". It matches the Rfam family "Bacterial small subunit ribosomal RNA", at positions 19 to 518 of the family's 1533-position model. The record is from RNAcentral.
CUGGCUCAGGAUGAACGCUAGCGGCAGGCCUAAUACAUGCAAGUCGAACGGGAUUGCCUCCUCGGGAGGCAUGAGAGUGGCGCACGGGUGCGCAACGCGUAUGCAACAACCCCCGACAGGCGGAUAGCCGGUGGAAACGCCGGAUAAUACGCCAUGGUUCCGUGGGAGGGCAUCCUCCUGAGGAUAAAGCCGAGAGGCGGUCGGGGACGGGCAUGCGUCCCAUUAGAUGGUAGGCGGGGUGACGGCCCACCUAGUCCACGAUGGGUAGGGGAUCUGAGAGGACGGUCCCCCACACUGGUACUGAGACACGGACCAGACUCCUGCGGGAGGCAGCAGUAAGGGAUAUUGGUCAAUGGGCGGAAGCCUGAACCAGCCAAUGCCGCGUGAGGGAAUGAGGCCCUACGGGUCGUGAACCUCUUUUAUUCGGGGACAAGGACGCGGUCGGGAACCGUGUUUGAGGGUACCGAAGGAAUAAGCGUCGGCUAACUCCGUGCCAGCAGCCGC